CCUAUCUGCCGUGGGCGCUGGAGAACUGAGGGGGGCUGCUCCUAGUACGAGAGGACCGGAGUGGACGCAUCACUGGUGUUCGGGUUGUCAUGCCAAUGGCACUGCCCGGUAGCUAAAUGCGGAAGAGAUAAGUGCUGAAAGCAUCUAAGCACGAAACUUGCCCCGAGAUGAGUUCUCCCUGAGACUUUAGGUCUCCUGAAGGAACGUUGAAGACGACGACGUUGAUAGGCCGGGUGUGUAAGCGCAGCGAUGCGUUGAGCUAACCGGUACUAAUGAACCGUGAGGCUUAACCUUACAACGCCGAAG
Molecule: ribosomal RNA, 306 nt
Filed under: Salmonella enterica
Lineage: Bacteria; Pseudomonadati; Pseudomonadota; Gammaproteobacteria; Enterobacterales; Enterobacteriaceae
Description: partial 23S ribosomal RNA
Rfam family: Bacterial large subunit ribosomal RNA
Source: RNAcentral